Long non-coding RNA from Eriocheir sinensis (Chinese mitten crab), 1394 nucleotides. RefSeq lists it as uncharacterized. Lineage: Eukaryota; Metazoa; Arthropoda; Malacostraca; Decapoda; Varunidae. The transcript has 3 exons. The record is from RefSeq and is a predicted model, not a curated record.
UGUGGUUAAUUUUUUUUCUAUUCUUUUUUAACGCAUUUUUUGGGAUGGAAAGCAAAAAAAUGUGGUUAAAUUUUUUUUCUAUUUUUUUUCACUCAUUUUUUGGGGUGGAAAGCAAAGAAUGUGGUUAAUUUUUUUUCUAUUCUUUUUUAACGCAUUUUUUGGGGUGGAAAGCAAAAAAUGUGGUUAAUUUUUUUUCUAUUCUUUUUUAACGCAUUUUUUGGGGUGGAAAGCAAAGAAUGUGGUUAGAUCAUUCUUUUUUUUUCUCUGUUAUGUGACCUAAGAAAAAACUGUGGGCAUAUUUUUCUUUAAUUCAUUUUUUGGGUAGCAAGCAAAAACUGUGAUCACAUAAUUAUCUUUUUUUUCUAUUCUUUUCUAACUCAUUUUUUGGGAUGGUAAGCAAAAAUGUGGUUAGAUAAUUAAUGAUAUUUUUCUUUUUAACUAAUUUUUUGGGUAGCAGCAAAAACUGUGGUCACAUAAUUUUUUUUUCAAGUAGUUUUGUGAGCUAAGAAAAUAAGUGGGUGCUAUUUUUUUGCAUUUUUGGGGAUAUAAGCAAAAAAUCUGAUUGUUAAGUUCCUUCUCAGUUGUUCUAGUAGAUAAAAUAAAUCAGUUAGGGAUAUUUAUUUAUUUAUUUAUUUAUUUUUUUUUUUUUGAUAUGUAAAAUGAUCUGGUUGUUGCUUUUCUUAAGGGCGCUGAUUUGGGGCGCUGUCUUAGGGUGCUGAUUUGGGGCGCUGUCUUAGGGUGCUGAUUUGGGGUGCUGUCUUAAGGUGCUGAUUUGGGGUUGGUUUUAUUCCCUCUCUGCAGUUUUUAUAGGUUAGCAAAACACAUCAUAAAACUGGUGUUAGUUUUCCUCAAUAAUUUUGGCAGAUAAAAAUAUGGCAAGGUUAUUUUUUCUUAGUUCUUUGGAGAGACAAGAAAAAAGCGAGGUUGUUUAAUCCCUUCUCUGCAGUUUUUGAAGAUAAAGAAAACACAUAAUAAAACUGGUGUUACUUUUCCUUAAGACAAAAAUAUGGCAAGGUUAUUUUUUCUUAGUUCUUUGGAGAGACAAGAAAAAAAGCGUGAAUGUUUUAUUCUUUCUCUGCAGUUUUCGAAGAUAAAGAAAACACAUAAUAAAACUGGUGUUACUUUUCCUUAAGAUAAAAAUAUGGCAAGGUUACUUUUUCUUAGUUCUUUGGAGAGACAAGAAAAAAAGCGAGGUUGUUUAAUCCCUUUCUCUGCAGUUUUCGAAGAUAAAGAAAACACAUAAUAAAACUGGUGUUACUUUUCCUUAAGACAAAAAUAUGACAAGGUUACUUUUUCUUAGUUCUUUGGAGAGACAAGAAAAAAGCGAGGUUGUUUAAUCCCUUCUCUGCAGUUUUCGAAGAUAAGCAAAACACAACAAGACGCUGACGGGGCAA